RNAcentral lists this transfer RNA (88 nucleotides) under Chlamydiales bacterium. RNAcentral describes it as "tRNA-Ser". It matches the Rfam family "tRNA". Rfam says of the family: Transfer RNA (tRNA) molecules are approximately 80 nucleotides in length. Their secondary structure includes four short double-helical elements and three loops (D, anti-codon, and T loops). Further hydrogen bonds mediate the characteristic L-shaped molecular structure. tRNAs have two regions of fundamental functional importance: the anti-codon, which is responsible for specific mRNA codon recognition, and the 3' end, to which the tRNAs corresponding amino acid is attached (by aminoacyl-tRNA synthetases). tRNAs cope with the degeneracy of the genetic code in two manners: having more than one tRNA (with a specific anti-codon) for a particular amino acid; and 'wobble' base-pairing, i.e. permitting non-standard base-pairing at the 3rd anti-codon position. Lineage: Bacteria; Pseudomonadati; Chlamydiota; Chlamydiia; Chlamydiales. The record is from RNAcentral.
GGAAGAGUGGCAGAGUGGCCGAUUGCACCUGUCUUGAAAACAGGAGGCCUGCAAGGGUCCGUGGGUUCGAAUCCUACCUCUUCCGCCA